RNAcentral lists this ribosomal RNA (489 nucleotides) under uncultured bacterium. Its description in RNAcentral is "partial 16S ribosomal RNA". It matches the Rfam family "Bacterial small subunit ribosomal RNA", at positions 30 to 506 of the family's 1533-position model. The record is from RNAcentral.
AUUGAACGCUGGCGGCAGGCCUAACACAUGCAAGUCGAACGGUAACAGGAAGCAGCUUGCUGCUUUGCUGACGAGUGGCGGACGGGUGAGUAAUGUCUGGGAAACUGCCUGAUGGAGGGGGAUAACUACUGGAAACGGUAGCUAAUACCGCAUAACGUCGCAAGACCAAAGAGGGGGACCUUAGGGCCUCUUGCCAUCGGAUGUGCCCGGAUGGGAUUAGCUAGUAGGUGGGGUAACGGCUCACCUAGGCGACGAUCCCUAGCUGGUCUGAGAGGAUGACCAGCCACACUGGAACUGAGACACGGUCCAGACUCCUACGGGAGGCAGCAGUGGGGAAUAUUGCACAAUGGGCGCAAGCCUGAUGCAGCCAUGCCGCGUGUAUGAAGAAGGCCUUCGGGUUGUAAAGUACUUUCAGCGGGGAGGAAGGGAGUAAAGUUAAUACCUUUGCUCAUUGACGUGACCCGCAGAAGAAGCACCGGCUAACUCCGU